RNAcentral lists this non-coding RNA (21 nucleotides) under Caenorhabditis elegans. Lineage: Eukaryota; Metazoa; Nematoda; Chromadorea; Rhabditida; Rhabditidae. The record is from RNAcentral.
UAGUGCUAUUUUAAUAUAAUC